Molecule: ribosomal RNA, 252 nt
Filed under: uncultured bacterium
Lineage: Bacteria
Description: partial 16S ribosomal RNA
Rfam family: Bacterial small subunit ribosomal RNA
Source: RNAcentral
UACGUAGGGGGCAAGCAUUAUCCGGAAUCACUGGGCGUAAAGGGUGCGUAGGCGGCUGAGCAAGCCAGGGGUGAAAGGCAGUAGCUUAACUAUUGUAAGCCUUUGGAACUGUUCGGCUUGAGUGUAGGAGAGGUAAGUGGAAUUCCUAGUGUAGCGGUGAAAUGCGUAGAUAUUAGGAGGAACACCAGUGGCGAAGGCGACUUACUGGACUAUAACUGACGCUGAGGCACGAAAGCGUGGGGAGCAAACAGG